This 465-nucleotide ribosomal RNA is filed under the name uncultured bacterium. RNAcentral describes it as "partial 16S ribosomal RNA". It matches the Rfam family "Bacterial small subunit ribosomal RNA", at positions 338 to 795 of the family's 1533-position model. The record is from RNAcentral.
CCUACGGGAGGCAGCAGUAGGGAAUCUUCCACAAUGGGCGAAAGCCUGAUGGAGCAACGCCGCGUGGGUGAAGAAGGUCUUCGGAUCGUAAAACCCUGUUGUUAGAGAAGAAAGUGCGUGAGAGUAACUGUUCACGUUUCGACGGUAUCUAACCAGACAGCCACGGCUAACUACGUGCCAGCAGCCGCGGUAAUACGUAGGUGGCAAGCGUUAUCCGGAUUUAUUGGGCGUAAAGGGAACGCAGGCGGUCUUUUAAGUCUGAUGUGAAAGCCUUCGGCUUAACCGGCGUAGUGCAUUGGAAACUGGGAGGCUUGAGUGCAGAAGAGGAGAGUGGAACUCCAUGUGUAGCGGUGAAAUGCGUAGAUAUAAGGAAGAACACCAGUGGCGAAGGCGGCUCUCUGGUCUGUAACUGACGCUGAGGUUCGAAAGCGUGGGUAGCAAACAGGAUUAGAUACCCGAGUAGUC